RNAcentral lists this transfer RNA (72 nucleotides) under Solanum tuberosum (potato). It matches the Rfam family "tRNA". From Rfam's summary of the family: Transfer RNA (tRNA) molecules are approximately 80 nucleotides in length. Their secondary structure includes four short double-helical elements and three loops (D, anti-codon, and T loops). Further hydrogen bonds mediate the characteristic L-shaped molecular structure. tRNAs have two regions of fundamental functional importance: the anti-codon, which is responsible for specific mRNA codon recognition, and the 3' end, to which the tRNAs corresponding amino acid is attached (by aminoacyl-tRNA synthetases). tRNAs cope with the degeneracy of the genetic code in two manners: having more than one tRNA (with a specific anti-codon) for a particular amino acid; and 'wobble' base-pairing, i.e. permitting non-standard base-pairing at the 3rd anti-codon position. The record is from Rfam by way of RNAcentral. Lineage: Eukaryota; Viridiplantae; Streptophyta; Magnoliopsida; Solanales; Solanaceae.
GCCGUCUUAGCUCAGUGAUAGAGCGCAUGACUUUUAAUCACGUGGUCGUGGGUUCGAUCCCCACAGGCGGCG